Stegodyphus dumicola is the source of this 1561-nucleotide RNA transcript. It is a transcript of the gene named flotillin-1-like, with no coding region annotated. The record is from RefSeq and is a predicted model, not a curated record. Lineage: Eukaryota; Metazoa; Arthropoda; Arachnida; Araneae; Eresidae.
UUAGCUGUCACUUGCAUGUGGUUUCGCCUGUAUGUGGCGGGUCAGGUUAGAUAAUUGAGUUUCGUUUAUGCUAUGAUUUUUACCACUUGAAGAUUCUGAAAUUUCCCUGAACUUCAGUAGUUGAACGCGUCGAUCCACCAAGUGUGGGAAUACGAUAUAAAUCUUGGAGCUUAUAUACGAAAGGCAAAUUUAGUUGUUAAAAAAAAUCGAAUUUCUACUCUGGGAAUGCAAAGUAAAAGCAUGUCUACUUGGAAAAACACCGAAAGCUGUUACUUCUCAUUGCAAAUCAGUCUUAUAGUAAUUAUCUUGAUACCGUUCACCUGUUCUCAAUCAGUGAGAAAUACAAUGGUUUUAAAUAACAAUCCUUCGUCUUUCAACUCAGCAUUAUUAUAUUCUCAAAUGAAUAUGAAUAACUUUCCAGGUCAGUCCUCCAUGACACAAAUGUUUGGUUCUGGCAGUAGAAGAUUGUCGGUGUUGUCCACUCUUUUCAAUGGCUUAAGAAACAGCGGACUGGAACAAACCAUAGCUGGAGAAGUUUUGCAAAGGCUUAUCAAAACAACCUUAAAGGACAUUCUAGUUCCAUUUAAAAGUAAUGCAUUCUCAUCGGGAAGUGUCUGAUUUGGAAAGCUGGUCUUUUCCUCGAGCAUAGUCUUCAACCAUUUAGUCCUUGAAUAUUUUUAUAUGUACAAGUCUAUUAUUCACAUUUGCAUUUACAUAUUAUAGCUAGGUUUUGCGUUCUACAAAAACACAGCUUGGAAAUGAAAAAGUAUGUGUAGUGACUGGUAAACAUUUGAUUGAUAUAACUCAAAAUUUUAAUUGUAUUUUAAUGAAUUUUUAUUUGAUUUCUUUUUCUAGUAAAAUGCUGCUAUUACAUUUUUUUGCAUAAAUAUUCUUAUUCUUGAAUGAGCAAAUAAUUCAUUUUUGUGACUGUUUGAAUGUACAAAAUGCUGAAAUGUCACUCUUCUAAAGGCAGUAUAGAAGAUUUAAAAUUUAUUUUGAAUUAUCAGUGUUUAAAGAGUAACUAAUAAAGCAUUUAUUCUAAAAGAGUCGAGGAAAUUCAAAGAUUUAGAAAUAGGAAAUUCGACUUUUUUAAUUAAAUUGUAUGUCAAGCAAUAAUUUAUUUCGCGUUCAAGAAUUUUUAAAAAACGUGUUGAUAGAAAAAAGUGUAAUCUUGUAAAACUGUUGAGAACUAAUGAAAUCCGCACAAUACAAAUUCUAGACUGAUUUAAUGUUUUUAAUGUUAUCUUUGAGAAGCAAAAAAGUAACUGGCUUGUUUUUCUUUUUAUCCUUCAAUCAUUUAGUUAGCUUAUUCUGUUGAAAUAUGUAAACAAAACAGAUCUUUUAGGGAACUCGAAGUUUAAUGUUUAUACCUUUCAUAUUAAAAUAAUGUUUCUUUUCUUAGAAUCUAACAAAUAUAUUUGUUUUGCUUUAGAUUUUUUUGAAUAACUAGAUAUUUAACCAGCCACUUCGGAAGUUUUUCUCAUGCUUGCAGGAAUGAAAAUGUGAUAUUCUGCCAAUUUUUGAAAAAUUUUUAUGUACAUUAAAAUUUUAAAUUUCUAGA